AACGAACGCUGGCGGCAGGCCUAACACAUGCAAGUCGAACGCUCCGCAAGGGGAGUGGCGCACGGGUGAGUAACACGUGGGAACCUACCUUCUGGUACGGAACAACCAAGGGAAACUUUGGCUAAGACCGUAUACGACCUCCGGGUGAAAGAUUGAUCGCCGGAAGAGGGGCCCGCGUCCGAUUAGGUAGUUGGUGAGGUAACGGCUCACCAAGCCUUCGAUCGGUAGCUGGUCUGAGAGGAUGACCAGCCACACUGGGGACUGAGACACGGCCCAGACUCCUACGGGAGGCAGCAGUGGGGAAUAUUGGACAAUGGGCGCAAGCCUGAUCCAGCCAUGCCGCGU
RNAcentral lists this ribosomal RNA (345 nucleotides) under uncultured bacterium. RNAcentral describes it as "bacterial SSU rRNA". It matches the Rfam family "Bacterial small subunit ribosomal RNA", at positions 29 to 402 of the family's 1533-position model. The record is from RNAcentral.